GGCUCCAUCGUCUAGAGGCCUAGGACGCUGCCCUCUCACGGCGGUAACGGGGGUUCGAAUCCCCCUGGGGCUACCA
RNAcentral lists this transfer RNA (76 nucleotides) under Nitrospinota bacterium. Its description in RNAcentral is "tRNA-Glu". It matches the Rfam family "tRNA". From Rfam's summary of the family: Transfer RNA (tRNA) molecules are approximately 80 nucleotides in length. The record is from RNAcentral. Lineage: Bacteria; Pseudomonadati; Nitrospinota.